GGGGGGGGGGGUGUUGCUGUUGUGGUGGUUGGACUUUGGAGAUGAAAAUUGAAAGAUUUAUGGAUUCUGAAUCAGUACUAGGAAUUCUAGGAUGCUUAUCAGUAGAAUUUGAGAAGACUUGCAGAUUCUAGACAGGAGCAUCUGUACCUCCAGCUCCAAGAUUUACUGGUGUCUUCAUCCUUCACACUUGUGUGGGCAGUGAACUUAUUAAGCCCAUAUUCUACAUUUAAGCUUUGAGAGAGAGAUCCUCAUAAUGACAGAUAGACUGACACAAGUUUAUGCAGUGGUUGGUGCUUUCCGAGGCGAAGAUGAGAGUCCUACAAUAUGGAUGCACCAAUAUAGCAAAUUUUAAAAGCACCUUUGUUUAAAUCUGAACAAUAUUUUUUUAGACUUGUUGUGUUUUCAAGACUGAGACAACCUAGUUAAUUAAUUAGGUUUGGGACAAAGAAGGCUCUAUCCCUAAUGUUCAACGUUUUCUGAAUAUGUUUACUCUCCCACAAGGUCUGUUCCCAAGUAGGGCUUUCAUCUAGCAUUAUUCAAGUGUGUUAUCAUUUUAUUCUUUUUAAUGUUCAGUCCUAAUUUUCUCUACUUUUUUAAUUAACAUGUUUAAACAUUCAUUUCUUUUUCUAUUGUCAAUUGCAUUAUAAAAUAGGUCACAGAAUCAUUGGAAAAUGUUGAAUCUGAUGUCGAUGUAGCAUGAGAUGGUUAUUCUUCCAUGUAGGGGCUGGGCAUUCAUUCCUUGCUAAAUGUUAAGCGUUUAACUCAUGUGUUAUCCCUUGACGUACAUACCUGUGGUGUGCUGUUAGUGUUGUGGGAUCUAGAUUUGCUCUUUCCAUUAAUUUGACAAGGCAAAGUUAACAAGUAGGAUAGGGUUACAUCUCAUAUUACGUUGAUGCUGUAGAGUUUUGGUUGCUUUCUUGCAAUAUCUAUGAAUGUAGUGAAAAUUUUCUGUUUCAGUAUGUAGGAUCAUUUUGAUUGCUGCAGAUCUGUAGCUGCAUUAUCUUUCUCUUUGCUUUUAUCUUCUCAAUUAUAGUGCUUUUAAGAGGGCACUGAUGUUUGGACUUUAGGGCUUAGAGUUAGUUAAGUUUAUAGUGUUUGACUCUUUGGUUUUCAGAACCUUCUUAGGUUGCAUUGCCAUCUAAUAGUUCUUAAAAAUGUACAGCACAGGUGAAAAAUAUGGACAUAUUUGUUGUUGUUUGACUUUUGCAGAUCACAUGCACAGAACCUCUAUUGGUGAUACUUUGACCAGUCUUAUCAAUUGUUAUAGGGUAGAGUCAGCCAAGAUAAAAUUUUGAAGUAAAAGAGUGCUACUUAUUCUAACUUCUAUGUUCAAGCUUGGUAAUAGCCUGUAUGAUGGCAAAAUAUUAUCUUGCUGUUAGGUGCCAUGUGGCCUACAUACCAGAGAAGUCUUCUAUAGGAGUGCGUGCUGUGGACAUAACAGUUCCUUAUUGAUAUUGCAAUGCAUGAAUGGACAAGUUGUGUCAUGUUUGGUAUAAUUUGAUGAAAAGAAGUUAUUUUCUUUUAGCUGCUUAAAAGAUUGAGAGAGGAAAAUCAAACCUGGAGUCUGCUGAAUAGUUAUUGUUGCUCAUAAGUUUCUCACAAACUUGUCUGUAUGUGGUUGCUUUAGCAGAUAAAUGAUUAAUAACAUAGUUUUUCUUCCCCACAAUGAAUUUAUUAAUGAAUUUGAUAAUGAUACAUAUCUACAAGUAAUUGUGGGCUUACCAUGAGUAGUUGCAUCAUAUUUGGAUGAAUGUAAUCUCUGAAGCCAAUCAUUAGAAUCAUUAAAUUUGUGUUGGCUGCAUCUUAGCAAAAGAAGCAGCAAUAUUUUUUAAUACAGUUUCCAAUCUUCUAAAGUCAUUAAUUUUCUACUUUUCAGUUUAGCAUCUCCAGUAAUUAUCUGUGUUUCUUGUCCCUCUUUCUGUGACUCUGUAUGCCUUUUUUUUUCCACAUGAAAUAUUUUCCUAUGUUACAGGAUUGAGGAAAGAAAAUUUACUUUCUGUUUCCAGCUACUGCUACAUGGAGAUGGCGAUUU
RNAcentral lists this unclassified non-coding RNA (2032 nucleotides) under Hevea brasiliensis (rubber tree). Lineage: Eukaryota; Viridiplantae; Streptophyta; Magnoliopsida; Malpighiales; Euphorbiaceae. The record is from RNAcentral.